UGGGACUUUGCAAAUCGAGUCACUGUGUCUUA
This 32-nucleotide non-coding RNA is filed under the name Homo sapiens (human). The record is from RNAcentral. Lineage: Eukaryota; Metazoa; Chordata; Mammalia; Primates; Hominidae.